ACGGGAGGCACAGUGGGGAAUAUUGCACAAUGGGGGAAACCCUGAUGCAGCGACGCCGCGUGAAGGAAGAAGUAUCUCGGUAUGUAAACUUCUAUCAGCAGGGAAGAUAAUGACGGUACCUGACUAAGAAGCCCCGGCUAACUACGUGCCAGCAGCCGCGGUAAUACGUAGGGGGCAAGCGUUAUCCGGAUUUACUGGGUGUAAAGGGAGCGCAGGCGGUUUUUUAAGUCUGAUGUGAAAGCCCGCGGCUCAACUGCGGGACUGCAUUGGAAACUGGAGAACUAGAGUGUCGGAGGGGCAAGUGGAAUUCCUAGUGUAGCGGUGAAAUGCGUAGAUAUUAGGAGGAACACCAGUGGCGAAGGCGGCUUGCUGGACGAUAACUGACGCUGAGGCUCGAAAGCGUGGGGAGCAAACAGGAUUAGAUACCCUGGUA
RNAcentral lists this ribosomal RNA (433 nucleotides) under uncultured Lachnospiraceae bacterium. Its description in RNAcentral is "partial 16S ribosomal RNA". It matches the Rfam family "Bacterial small subunit ribosomal RNA", at positions 341 to 792 of the family's 1533-position model. Lineage: Bacteria; Bacillati; Bacillota; Clostridia; Lachnospirales; Lachnospiraceae. The record is from RNAcentral.